Paramuricea clavata is the source of this 656-nucleotide non-coding RNA. The record is from the annotation of a GenBank genome assembly. NCBI's taxonomy places the organism in Eukaryota, Metazoa, Cnidaria, Anthozoa, Malacalcyonacea, Plexauridae.
CUCGAGUGUGAAGAGACGGCAUUGAAUAACAACACGAGAGAGCACUGUGAGUUACGAUUUGCUUGGUUUCUUGAAUUGACGUUUGCUUUUCACUGCUCUUGUAUAGAAAUGAGAAUCGACAUUUGGAAGAUGCACAGUUCAACAUCUGGAGAUCUCUGCACUUUCGUCCUUAUCGUGGGAUAUUAAGUUAAUUAGUCUUUUUUAUAGAAUAUUAAGUUUGGUAAAAGAAAAUACCACAUUUUUAUACGUUGGUAUUGUAUGUAGUGUACUUGUGGUGCGCAAGAAGAGAUUGGCCAUGAAGUUCAUACGUUUAGUCUUAGAUUAAGUUAUUUCACAUAAACAUGUGUGCUUAAUGACAUUAUAGAAUCGUUUUGUCAGAUUGGCACCAAGUCAAUCGUAUACGUAUAUAACAAGAACGUGAGCUAUUCUGCUACUUAACUGUACGUAGUUUUGUACUUUAGUUUUAAAACUCACAUUCAUCUGACGUUUUCGUAACAUAUAAGAAAACAAAAAUUUUAGUAUCAGAGAAAAAAUUAUAUAUAGAGAAUAAUACAUGGGUAAAGCGAUAAUUGAAAAACAAUAAAACAUCCGUGGCAAUGCGUUCUCUGAUUGGUCAAACAUAUUUCCUACGCGCUUUUUGAUUGACUUGCAAAAAU